GGCAGGUGCGGUGGGGCAGCUGGUGUUGUGAAUCAGGCCGGCGCCCAUCGGAAAACGGCUACUUCACAACACCAGGGCCGCACCUCACCCCAGG
This 94-nucleotide microRNA precursor is filed under the name Dasypus novemcinctus (nine-banded armadillo). Lineage: Eukaryota; Metazoa; Chordata; Mammalia; Cingulata; Dasypodidae. The record is from RNAcentral.